AGAGCGAACGCUGGCGGCAGGCUUAACACAUGCAAGUCGAGCGGGCGUAGCAAUACGUCAGCGGCAGACGGGUGAGUAACGCGUGGGAACGUACCUUUUGGUUCGGAACAACUGAGGGAAACUUCAGCUAAUACCGAAUAAGCCCUUACGGGGAAAGAUUUAUCGCCGAAAGAUCGGCCCGCGUCUGAUUAGCUUGUUGGUGAGGUAAUGGCUCACCAAGGCGACGAUCAGUAGCUGGUCUGAGAGGAUGAUCAGCCACAUUGGGACUGAGACACGGCCCAAAACUCCUACGGGAGGCAGCAGUGGGGAAUAUUGGACAAUGGGCGCAAGCCUGAUCCAGCCAUGCCGCGUGAGUGAUGAAGGCCCUAGGGUUGUAAAAGCUCUUUUGUGCGGGAAGAUAAUGACGGUACCGCAAGAAUAAAGCCCCGGCUAACUUCGCGCUAGCAGCCGC
Molecule: ribosomal RNA, 451 nt
Filed under: uncultured bacterium
Lineage: Bacteria
Description: SSU rRNA
Rfam family: Bacterial small subunit ribosomal RNA
Source: RNAcentral